Molecule: ribosomal RNA, 157 nt
Filed under: Ophiocordyceps sinensis
Lineage: Eukaryota; Fungi; Ascomycota; Sordariomycetes; Hypocreales; Ophiocordycipitaceae
Description: 5.8S ribosomal RNA
Rfam family: 5.8S ribosomal RNA
About the family: 5.8S ribosomal RNA (5.8S rRNA) is a component of the large subunit of the eukaryotic ribosome. It is transcribed by RNA polymerase I as part of the 45S precursor that also contains 18S and 28S rRNA.
Source: RNAcentral
ACUUCCAACAACGGAUCUCUUGGUUCUGGCAUCGAUGAAGAACGCAGCGAAAUGCGAUAAGUAAUGUGAAUUGCAGAAUUCAGUGAACCAUCGAAUCUUUGAACGCACAUUGCGCCCGCCAGCACUCUGGCGGGCAUGCCUGUCCGAGCGUCAUCUC